UCAAGAAGAACCCUUUAAGUCAACAAAGGUGAGCUCCAUCAUAAAAUCCUAUCGAUGGGCACCAUUUGUUCCAGUAGCAAUGGACAGUUCUAUGUUGAGUGUGUUGCUGCUGUUAUCAAAAUAUAGGCUGCGGAAUGUACCUGUGAUAGAAAGAGGAAGUCCAUACCUUAAGAACUUUAUAACUCAAUCAGCCGUGGUACGGGGUCUUGUAGGAUGCAAAGGGAGGGAUUGGUUUGACUGCAUCUCCGCUCACCCUAUAUCAGAACUUGGCCUCCCAUACAUGUCCGCUGACGAGGUUAUUAGUGUCCGAGACGAUGAACUGAUUCUGGAAGCAUUCAAGAAAAUGAGAGAUAAUAAUAUCGGAGGUCUGCCGGUUGUUGAAG
Molecule: unclassified non-coding RNA, 383 nt
Filed under: Hevea brasiliensis (rubber tree)
Lineage: Eukaryota; Viridiplantae; Streptophyta; Magnoliopsida; Malpighiales; Euphorbiaceae
Source: RNAcentral